Molecule: ribosomal RNA, 375 nt
Filed under: uncultured organism
Description: partial 16S ribosomal RNA
Rfam family: Bacterial small subunit ribosomal RNA
Source: RNAcentral
GUAGGUGGCAAGCGUUGUCCGGGAAUUAUUGGGGCGUAAAGCGCGCGCAGGCGGUUCUUUAAGUCUGAUGUGAAAGCCCACGGGCUCAACCGUGGAGGGUCAUUGGAAACUGGAGAACUUGAGUACAGAAGAGGAAAGCGGAAUUCCACGUGUAGCGGUGAAAUGCGUAGAGAUGUGGAGGAACACCAGUGGCGAAGGCGGCUUUCUGGUCUGUAACUGACGCUGAGGCGCGAAAGCGUGGGGAGCAAACAGGAUUAGAUACCCUGGUAGUCCACGCCGUAAACGAUGAGUGCUAAGUGUUAGGGGGUUUCCGCCCCUUAGUGCUGCAGCUAAUGCAUUAAGCACUCCGCCUGGGGAGUACGGCCGCAAAGGCUG